This 247-nucleotide long non-coding RNA is filed under the name Heterocephalus glaber (naked mole-rat). RNAcentral's name for it is "lncRNA (ENSHGLG00100033700.1)". The record is from RNAcentral. Lineage: Eukaryota; Metazoa; Chordata; Mammalia; Rodentia; Bathyergidae.
UUUCAAAAAACCACUUCAGAAGAGGGAAUACAGACCUUUUAAAGAAAAGGAUUGCCCUAAAUUGCCCUGGCCAGCUUCGAACUUGCCAUCCUCAUGCUUUAGCCUCCGGAGAAGCUGGAAUUACAGGAGAAUUUUAUCAUCUAGCCAGUCCGCAAGGCAUUCGGCAAACGCGGACUGGAUCUCCGGCCGCGCGGAUCAGGUGGAGUUUCGGGGCCCAGGAACUCCAGUGGCUGCGGCCGCCAAGGAA